This 468-nucleotide ribosomal RNA is filed under the name uncultured bacterium. RNAcentral describes it as "partial 16S ribosomal RNA". It matches the Rfam family "Bacterial small subunit ribosomal RNA", at positions 28 to 507 of the family's 1533-position model. The record is from RNAcentral.
GACGAACGCUGGCGGCGUGCUUAACACAUGCAAGUCGAACGGAAAGGCCCUGCUUUUGUGGGGUGCUCGAGUGGCGAACGGGUGAGUAACACGUGAGUAACCUGCCCUUGACUUUGGGAUAACUUCAGGAAACUGGGGCUAAUACCGGAUAGGAGCUCCUGCUGCAUGGUGGGGGUGGGAAAGUUUCGGCGGUUGGGGUUGGACUCGCGGCUUAUCGGCUUGUUGGUGGGGUAGUGUCUUAGCAAGGCUUGGACGGGUAGCCUGCCUGAGCGGGUGAGCGGCCCCAUUGGGCCUGGGAUACGGCCCAGACUCCUACGGGAGGCAGCAGUGGGGAAUAUUGCACAAUGGGCGGAAGCCUGAUGCAGCAACGCCGCGUGCGGGAUGACGGCCUUCGGGUUGUAUUCCGCUUUCGCCUGUGACGAAGCGUGAGUGACGGUAAUGGGUAAAGAAGCACCGGCUAACUCCGUG